Molecule: ribosomal RNA, 467 nt
Filed under: uncultured bacterium
Lineage: Bacteria
Description: partial 16S ribosomal RNA
Rfam family: Bacterial small subunit ribosomal RNA
Source: RNAcentral
GACGAACGCUGGCGGCGUGCUUAACACAUGCAAGUCGAACGGAAAGGCCCUGCUUUUGUGGGGUGCUCGAGUGGCGAACGGGUGAGUAACACGUGAGUAACCUGCCCUUGACUUUGGGAUAACUUCAGGAAACUGGGGCUAAUACCGGAUAGGAGCUCCUGCUGCAUGGUGGGGGUUGGAAAGUUUCGGCGGUUGGGGAUGGACUCGCGGCUUAUCAGCUUGUUGGUGGGGUAGUGGCUUACCAAGGCUUUGACGGGUAGCCGGCCUGAGAGGGUGACCGGCCACAUUGGGACUGGGAUACGGCCCAGACUCCUACGGGAGGCAGCAGGGGGGAAUAUUGCACAAUGGGCGGAAGCCUGAGGCAGCAACGCCGCGUGCGGGAUGACGGCUUCGGGUUGUAAACCGCUUUCGCCUGUGACGAAGCGUGAGUGACGGUAAUGGGUAAAGAAGCACCGGCUAACUACGUG